RNAcentral lists this transfer RNA (84 nucleotides) under Bacteroidota bacterium. Its description in RNAcentral is "Bacteroidetes bacterium (wastewater metagenome) tRNA-Ser". It matches the Rfam family "tRNA". Rfam says of the family: Transfer RNA (tRNA) molecules are approximately 80 nucleotides in length. Their secondary structure includes four short double-helical elements and three loops (D, anti-codon, and T loops). The record is from RNAcentral. Lineage: Bacteria; Pseudomonadati; Bacteroidota.
GGAGAGCUGGCAGAAUGGCUAAUGCACCGGUCUUGAAAACCGGCGGCCUUUACGGCCUUGGGGGUUCGAGUCCCUCGCUCUCCG